Molecule: ribosomal RNA, 622 nt
Filed under: uncultured bacterium
Lineage: Bacteria
Description: bacterial SSU rRNA
Rfam family: Bacterial small subunit ribosomal RNA
Source: RNAcentral
CCUACGGGAGGCAGCAGUGGGGAAUUUUGGACAAUGGGCGCAAGCCUGAUCCAGCAAUGCCGCGUGCAGGAUGAAGGCCUUCGGGUUGUAAACUGCUUUUGUACGGAACGAAACGGUGAGCUCUAAUACAGUUUGCUAAUGACGGUACCGUAAGAAUAAGCACCGGCUAACUACGUGCCAGCAGCCGCGGUAAUACGUAGGGUGCGAGCGUUAAUCGGAAUUACUGGGCGUAAAGCGUGCGCAGGCGGUGAUGUAAGACAGAUGUGAAAUGCCCGGGCUCAACCUGGGACCUGCAUUUGUGACUGCAUCGCUAGAGUACGGUAGAGGGGGAUGGAAUUCCGCGUGUAGCAGUGAAAUGCGUAGAUAUGCGGAGGAACACCGAUGGCGAAGGCAAUCCCCUGGACCUGUACUGACGCUCAUGCACGAAAGCGUGGGGAGCAAACAGGAUUAGAUACCCUGGUAGUCCACGCCCUAAACGAUGUCAACUGGUUGUUGGGUCUUCACUGACUCAGUAACGAAGCUAACGCGUGAAGUUGACCGCCUGGGGAGUACGGCCGCGAAGGUUGAAACUCAAAGGAAUUAGACGGCGUUGAGACGNGCGAGGACGACACGAGGGAGGAGG